GAGGGAUCUAUUCCCUCACCUUAAUGCAGCUCCGAAAGGAACGGUGACAAGCCCGUAUUAAUGCAGAGUCAAGGA
This 75-nucleotide non-coding RNA is filed under the name unclassified sequences. The record is from RNAcentral.